RNAcentral lists this ribosomal RNA (409 nucleotides) under bacterium. Its description in RNAcentral is "partial 16S ribosomal RNA". It matches the Rfam family "Bacterial small subunit ribosomal RNA", at positions 355 to 776 of the family's 1533-position model. The record is from RNAcentral.
UGGGGAAUAUUGCACAAUGGGCGAAAGCCUGAUGCAGCGACGCCGCGUGAGGGAUGACGGCCUUCGGGUUGUAAACCUCUUUCAGUAGGGACGAAGCGCAAGUGACGGUACCUGCAGAAGAAGCACCGGCUAACUACGUGCCAGCAGCCGCGGUAAUACGUAGGGUGCGAGCGUUGUCCGGAAUUACUGGGCGUAAGGAGCUCGUAGGCGGUUUGUCACGUCGUCUGUGAAAUCCUAGGGCUUAACCCUGGACGUGCAGGCGAUACGGGCUGACUUGAGUACUACAGGGGAGACUGGAAUUUCUGGUGUAGCGGUGGAAUGCACAGAUAUCAGGAAGAACACCGAUGGCGAAGGCAGGUCUCUGGGUAGUAACUGACGCUGAGGAGCGAAAGCAUGGGUAGCGAACAGG